AGAGACAGCAGUAGCCGCGGGAACACAGAGGGUGCGAGCGUUAAUCGGAUUUACUGGGCGUAAAGCGUGCGUAGGCGGCUUCUUAAGUCGGAUGUGAAAUCCCUGAGCUUAACUUAGGAAUUGCAUUCGAUACUGGGAAGCUAGAGUAUGGGAGAGGAUGGUAGAAUUCCAGGUGUAGCGGUGAAAUGCGUAGAGAUCUGGAGGAAUACCGAUGGCGAAGGCAGCCAUCUGGCCUAAUACUGACGCUGAGGUACGAAAGCAUGGGGAGCAAACAGGAUUAGAUACCCGCGUAGUCCCUGUCUCUUAUAC
Molecule: ribosomal RNA, 309 nt
Filed under: uncultured bacterium
Lineage: Bacteria
Description: partial 16S ribosomal RNA
Rfam family: Bacterial small subunit ribosomal RNA
Source: RNAcentral